GUCUUUUUGAUUAUAAUUUAAAGUCUAGCCUGCCCAAUGAAUAUUUAAAUGGCCGCGGUAUUUUGACCGUGCAAAGGUAGCAUAAUCAUUAGUUUUUUAAUUGAAAGCUAGAAUGAAAGGUUGGACGAGAAAAUAACUGUCUCAUUAUAAUUUAAUUAGAAUUUUAUUUUUAAGUUAAAAAGCUUAAAUUUAUUUAAAAGACGAGAAGACCCUAUAGAGUUUAAUAUUUAUAUAAAUUUUAUUUUUUAUAAUUUAAAUAAUUUAUUUAAAUAUUUUGUUGGGGUGAUGAUAAAAUUUAGUUAACUUUUAUUUUUUUUAUACAUUGAUUUAUGAAUAUUUGAUCCAUUUUUAAUGAUUAUAAGAUUAAAUUACCUUAGGGAUAACAGCGUAAUUUUUUUAGAGAGUUCAAAUCGAAAAAAAAGAUUGCGACCUCGAUGUUGGAUUAAAGUUAAUUUUUGGUGUAGAAGCUAAAAUAUUGAGUCUGUUCGACUUUUAAAACUUUACAUGAUCUGAGUUUAAACCGGUGUAAGCCAGGUUGGUUUCUAUCUUUAAAUAAUUAAAUAUUUUAGUACGAAAGGACCAAAUAUUUGUAAUAAUUAUUAUAUUUUGAAUAU
RNAcentral lists this ribosomal RNA (614 nucleotides) under Ochthebius griotes. RNAcentral describes it as "partial 16S ribosomal RNA". It matches the Rfam family "Bacterial large subunit ribosomal RNA", at positions 1819 to 2726 of the family's 2925-position model. The record is from RNAcentral. Lineage: Eukaryota; Metazoa; Arthropoda; Insecta; Coleoptera; Hydraenidae.